Non-coding RNA from Triticum aestivum (bread wheat), 124 nucleotides. The record is from Rfam. Lineage: Eukaryota; Viridiplantae; Streptophyta; Magnoliopsida; Poales; Poaceae.
AAAAUACUCCCUCCGCUCGAAAAUACAUGUCGGGGAAAUGGAUGUGUGUAGACGUAUUUUAGUUCUAAAUACAUCCAUUUUCCUCAUUUCUAUGACAAGCAAUUCCGGACGAAGGGAGUAUUAU